This 363-nucleotide unclassified non-coding RNA is filed under the name uncultured Gammaproteobacteria bacterium. RNAcentral's name for it is "contains 16S-23S intergenic spacer region". Lineage: Bacteria; Pseudomonadati; Pseudomonadota; Gammaproteobacteria. The record is from RNAcentral.
UCCGGGUUUCGCCCGGCAGUCUCCCUAGAACAUUCAACUAAGGACAGGGGUUGCGCUCGUUGCGGGACUUAACCCAACACCUCACGGCGCGAGCUGACGACAGCCAUGCAGCACCUGUGUUACGGCUCUCUUUCGAGCACGCCUCGAUCUCUCGUGGCUUCCGUACGUGUCAAGGGUAGGUAAGGUUUUUCGCGUUGCAUCGAAUUAAUCCACAUCAUCCACCGCUUGUGCGGGUCCCCGUCAAUUCCUUUGAGUUUUAAUCUUGCGACCGUACUCCCCAGGCGGACAACUUCACGCGUUAGCUGCGGUACUGAGAAAUCGCUUCCCCAACACCUAGUUGUCAUCGUUUCGGGCGUGGACUAC